AGUUGAUUUUUAGUGGUUAGAUCCUUAAAGAAUCUAAAUGGAAAUAGAGAACUUGCUCAUUUUAAUGUGGGGAACUUUUGUCAGAAACAGGUUGCUAACAGAAGACUUCUCGCCUUGACAGCUUUGAGGAGAGGACAGACAUCUGAGAGAAUUUCCUUUUCCCAAGGCAAACAGGCAGGAGUCAGAAUAGACGCAACAUAAUCCACUGAUGACUAA
Molecule: long non-coding RNA, 216 nt
Filed under: Callithrix jacchus (white-tufted-ear marmoset)
Lineage: Eukaryota; Metazoa; Chordata; Mammalia; Primates; Cebidae
Description: lncRNA (ENSCJAG00000072602.1)
Source: RNAcentral